Pyrus x bretschneideri (Chinese white pear) is the source of this 700-nucleotide long non-coding RNA. RefSeq lists it as uncharacterized. The transcript is spliced from 2 exons. Lineage: Eukaryota; Viridiplantae; Streptophyta; Magnoliopsida; Rosales; Rosaceae. The record is from RefSeq and is a predicted model, not a curated record.
CAUUAGAAUUAAAAUAAGAAUUCCACGGAAUUACAAAGUUUUAAGGAUAGUAUGAUAAUUUUGUAUUACCAUGGUUGAUUGAUUACCUUAUGCUGUCCGUUUACCCUUAUUUUUCAUUUCUAUUAUAAAUUUCUUUAUUUCUUGUCCUUUUCUUUUCUUUUUGUCUCUCUUCCCUCCCUCCCGCAUCCUCUCUCCCUCUUCUCUUAGCGAGCCGACGACUGCCGACGCAACAUCUCCGUCGUUCACCGGUCACCAACGCCUGUCAAACUACACAUCCAGAAUGCUCUUGCCGUCCUUUAUCCAAUCCCCAAGUUAAUUUCUAUAAAUUCAUAGGCGAUUUUCCUCAAUUUCUAAUUUAAUAAACGGUGACCCAGGGUUUUCCAUCCAACUUCCGGCCAAUAUCGCCGGAAUUGGACCUCGACCCAAGAGGUAGAAAUGAUCCUCUUCUCGUGGGCUGUUCUCCAAUAACCUGUGUUUUGUUUGGGGUAAACGUGCUACAGAAUACAUAUCUUCAGUGAACGUUGCUUGAGGUGUGAGUGGACAAAUUAUCUCUUGAAGGUGCUUCAACUUACCUUUUUGGUAGACAAGGCUCCUCAAGGUAGAGCUAGCCAGAGGUGUGAGUUGACAUUUAUUUCAGAAUUUUUUUCUUUGUCAAAUAUUAAGCAUGCAUAGAUAAAUAUGAUUUCCGUUAUGGUUUUUA